Molecule: ribosomal RNA, 506 nt
Filed under: uncultured bacterium
Lineage: Bacteria
Description: partial 16S ribosomal RNA
Rfam family: Bacterial small subunit ribosomal RNA
Source: RNAcentral
AUUGAACGCUGGCGGCAGGCCUAACACAUGCAAGUCGAACGGUAACAGAAAGCAGCUUGCUGCUUUGCUGACGAGUGGCGGACGGGUGAGUAAUGUCUGGGAUACUGCCUGAUGGAGGGGGAUAACUACUGGAAACGGUAGCUAAUACCGCAUAACGUCGCAAGACCAAAGAGGGGGACCUUCGGGCCUCUUGCCAUCGGAUGUGCCCAGAUGGGAUUAGCUAGUAGGUGGGGUAAUGGCUCACCUAGGCGACGAUCCCUAGCUGGUCUGAGAGGAUGACCAGCCACACUGGAACUGAGACACGGUCCAGACUCCUACGGGAGGCAGCAGUGGGGAAUAUUGCACAAUGGGCGCAAGCCUGAUGCAGCCAUGCCGCGUGUAUGAAGAAGGCCUUCGGGUUGUAAAGUACUUUCAGCGAGGAGGAAGGUGUUGUGGUUAAUAACCACAGCAAUUGACGUUACUCGCAGAAGAAGCACCGGCUAACUCCGUGCCAGCAGCCGCAGUAA